UUUGUUUGGAGCCUGCCUUCUCCAAGUGUGGCCCUAAUCAGCAGGAGGGGCACCUUCUAGGGGCUUCUCUAGGGUAGCGUGUUGGCCGCACCCCAAAGCUACCAAGUCAGACUUUGCAGUUUGGCAAGAUCCCAGGUGAUGCACACGGACGUCCGAGUCUGAGAAGCGCUGGCUUGGAGUGUGGUGCACCCACCCAAUAGAGUUUACCUUCUGCCUCACUAACACCCCAGGAGCAAGGUGAAGGUUUUUCCAUGAGCCUGACAUGGCAUUUUGAAACUCUAUUAACAAUUAGGAGUCACAUAUAAGAAAACCUAAUAUUUAAGUCUAUCAACGAAUCAGAAGAAUUGUUUCCGUUUUGAUUUAGCAGGAAUGCCAUCUUGCUCCCAAACCCUCAACUGGAAGCAAAGAACGGUUUCCUCUCAGGUUAAUGGGUUUCCCCUCGUCAAGCUGUCCUUCGAUCACGUCAUCUAGACUUGCCUCCACCUAUUUAUUUCUUUUUAUAACUGUUCUUCUUUUUAAUAGGGUUAUUCGCCCUUCCGAUAUUAACAGCAAUUAGACUCACCUCACGGUGCGUCAUGUCGACUCAAUCUGCGACCGUCAGAGGAGGAUGAUCUUAGUCUUGUCUCGGUAACAAACCUUGACAACCCAAACAAAGCAGCAGGUGAAAGACAGGAGGAGGAUUUGCAACACAGGAUCGCAGGCGGCAAGAACGUCGCGAACGUGACGGCUGCGCUGCCUGCUCGGGCCACGUGGAAAUGGUGGCAUUCACGCUGCCGGCACUGAUGACACGGUGCAUGGUCUGAAAUUGCAUUUUUUCAGCCAAGUUUUUAGAGAAGACUCUUUAAAAGCCUCGGAAACAUUAACAUUCUCUUUCCAAUUCUAAUCUAUUUAAUUUUAUUGGAAAACAUUUACAUAGCUCAUCAGCCGACUCUCUAGUAUUGAGUAAUAUUUAGCAUGCUGUAAUCAUGAGGAGAGAUUUAGAUUAAAUGCUGUUUUUUAUUACUAUUCAAUCACCAUAAGUUGUUCCACUUUUUAUCUUUUUAGUCAACAGAUUUCAAAGGUGGGAAAAUAUCUUCAUUUACAGAUACACCUAUAUUUAUCUCCUAUUAUAUUUUCCAUUAGUGUCUGUGUGAGAUUUAUUCCUGGUGAUUCCCAACAAAGUAAAUGUGCAUCUCCUAACACCAGAUGCUAAUAAUAAAGACAAAUGCCCCCUAUCUCUUAGAGAUGUUACAAGAAUAAAUUAGAUAAUAUUUACAGGGGGAUUUGACCUCACUGGAGAUAGUAUAUAAAUGACAUGUGAAAAACAAACCUUUGAAGAACAAAAAAUUCCAUUCCGUUGCAGCCAGAUUGAGUUGACAGGAAUCAAAUUAUGUUCCGAGCAGAGGAAACAGGCCUGCUAACAGCGGUUCCCCUCGCUGUGGACGCACGCCAGGCACUCACAAUGAACCCCAGGUCUGGCCUGCACCUUCGGGCGUCGGUUUGGGCAUGUGCACAACCAGCUUGUCAUCCCUUCCCAUGUGUCUACGUUUAUUACGGUUGGAAUAUGCUGGGGCAAACUAUCAAAGUUACUUUAAACCUCUUUCUACAUUUAAUAACCUAUAAGGACUGUUAAUAAAGCAAGCAGACAUUUUGACAUAGGUGACACAUGGACACAUCCAGACAAACUCUUUUCACAUUAUACUAUCUAGAACCGAAAAGGAGCUUCCCACAGGACAAUGGACAAGGAGAGAGUCCUGGUGGUCACACAGGGGAAGUCCAAGUCCUCACUUUGAGGUGGAAACUCAUUUUUUGAUGGGAUCAUUCGUGGGGCACAGGGAAGUCACCCAACCCCACCCGUUUUCUAAAAGUCCAGCUACAUUGGCCCCAGAUUCUACCAUUUGAAAUUCUUCUUGAGUUAAGAGAAAUAGCUGCAUGUUCAUGGAAAAAGGUAAAAUUAAAAACCGUAGGAUGAUGAGGACAUUCAACAAUGUAAUGAACCAACCCUGCAGACCUACUCUGCGCCAGGCACUAUCCUAAGUGUUUUUUACCAGAACUGUCUCAUUGAAUUUCCAGUUCAACCCUAUGACACAGGCACUAUUCUCAUUCCAAUGUUGACAGACGUGCGAACAGGCACAGAGAGGUUAAAAAGCCUGUCCAAGGUUGCACAGGCUACAGGUGGCAUCUCUAGGCCUUCACCUUGGCCCUCUGACUGCAGAGUCUGUGCUCAGAACCAACAGGUCUUCCGACCAGUGAGAGAGUUAGCCCCAUGCAAUAUACUCCUGUGUGAAAACGAGACAAACGAUACUUUACAAACUUGGAUACAAAGAACAAUGUGAAAAAGCUUUAGAUUGUGUUUGGUCAAUGGUUGGAUUUUUCUAGAACAGCCAAGGUUCCCAAGUGAGGCAGCCUCCACCGUUCCAUUUCACAGGACGCGUCCACAGUGACAUUCAAGUACAAUCUUACCGUGCCGAAAGCGCUCGCCAGGAAUGGGGCCCUGGGAACUAUGCCGAAAGCACAGUUCUCUCGCGGAGCUGACAGCAAAUAUUUGGCUGGAGAUGAGAAAUGGGACGUGGGAAUGAAUUUGGAGAUGGAAAUAUCAGAGGAGCUUGGAUGAUACACUGAAAGUAAUGGACAUCUAUCACAUUACUACCAUGGAUCACUUCUGUAGUAAGAGGCUACUGUGGCUCUUAGAACGUAGAAUAGCUUCCUGAUCUAUGCAAUGUUUGAAAUAAGAGCUUUAAAAUUGUUCUCUAAUGCCAGAAACGUAUGCCAUCCGUGUUUUUCAUUUCAUUGUAUCCCAUAAAACAUGCGGUUUUCAGAAAGAGAUGAACUGAUAUCCCAGCUUCGCUGCUUCUAACAGAACACUGUAAUAAGGUUAAGUACACACCUUUCCAUAGCAACAGACGCUGUAGACAGACAUGAACCCUAUACGUCUCCCUUGAAGAAAGCUUUAGGAUGAUAACAGACAAAUUCGAAAUAAAGCCUAUGAUCCCCACACCCUGAAGCCUGCUUCCCCGAAGAACUCAAGAAAGGAUACAUUGACAAACAGCUCACCGUGGCUUCCCAUAGCUCAUUUCUUUGCCUUCUUUUUUUUUUUGCUUUAAAUGGCACUUCAGCCUUAAUAGUUACAGAGGUUUCAAGAGAGAGGACUAGCGCCACCUGAAAA
Long non-coding RNA from Phyllostomus discolor (pale spear-nosed bat), 3145 nucleotides. RefSeq lists it as uncharacterized. The record is from RefSeq and is a predicted model, not a curated record. NCBI's taxonomy places the organism in Eukaryota, Metazoa, Chordata, Mammalia, Chiroptera, Phyllostomidae. The transcript has 2 exons.